CUGAUCCUUUUUGUUAUUUCCUAUUUUGCUAUCCCACAGAAUUUACAAAGCGGCAUCGAGCUCCUUUUAAAAAAUUGGCAACACGCUUUCCAGUUCGUCUGCAGUAGAAAAUCAGUUGAUCGUUCAAUCACGUGCAAUCAAAAUCGCGUUUUUCCGUUGAUUCCGUGUGAAUUGUGUGAUUAUAACGUGGUCAUUUGGCAAAUUUGUCCGUACACAUAAAGAUUUUCCUUGUGAUACACGUGGUUGAAACAAAGCAUUCAAGUCAAGGAGUUAAUCCCAGAAUUCCCAGAUCAUAUCGUACGUUGGCAAUUUGGUACAAGUGGUACUUGUAAGAAGCAAGAAGCCAAGUAGCAAGGCCAAUGUUACAUCUUAAUACAGCAACAAAAACGUUAAGCCUUUCAACUUUUCAAGUGUUAUGUGACUGUUGGAAGUUACGUUUGCUUAUGAAAGGUGCAUUGAUGAAGAAAAGGUACCUGGUGAAGUGAAUUCUAAUGUUCAGUAACUGUUAUAGCUACUCACAUCAAUUGACUGACACUGUUUGACCUGAAGUAGCAAGAAUUUCAUUUUCCAUUAUUAGCGGAUUCCAUGUGGAGUUCAGAGCUCUCACAAAAGAUCAAUCAUGCCUAAUCUCCUGCAACACAAGUAACAAGAUGAAAAACUUCUACAACUCUUUGUUGUGUGUAUUUUAGUAAAAUAACAAUUUCUGGAUUUUUCCUACAGAAUUCAUAAAUUCUUUUCGAAUCUUGAGGACCGUAAUGACUGCAACCAGUUUUUUGAAAAAACCAGCCCCAUAAAUUCAAACAGUUAUUUGCAGUUUUGGCCAAGACGCUCACUCGCCUUUUUCGAUGUCAGGCAAUGCGGAUUAAGAACUGGAUCCUGGCGAAUCGUCACUCAUACUUCACUUAUAUGAAAGCCUGGAAUCUUGGUGCGUACAAUGUGAUGCUUCAACUGGCGUCAGUCGAACAAAUCAACAGACGGACCUUAGUAGUUAAAAAUAAUUGCCCAUGAAAUAUCCGAUAAAGUACAUGACAUGGAGAGAAAAAAACGGACCAACUUCGAUCGACCAGAUUGCAAAUUGAACAGCCUAGCCCGACGUCCCAAGAAAAACUCUUUGGCUUGCAUCUGCCCAUUCGUUGGCCUCCAUUCGUUAAGUGAGUUCUCUUUGCCAGUUUAAACGAACGAACUCACUAUGCAUGGCUCCGUUGGGAAGAAAUGGUGACACAUCCGGACACGGAGAUCACCAUCACUGAAAUCUGGACACAUCGGGCGGUUAGUAGACGCACAAGUGAAGUAAAUCGCUAAAUCCAUCGGCGUGUAGUUAUCCCAUUCGACGUACCAAAAACAACCAGUUAAGUCCCAUCUCAAUGUGGAUUGUGUAAACGCAAUAUGAUGGAAACUAUGAAGUUGUGGCAACCAAUCGUCAAAGAGGAAUGAAGAUCUUUUUGGACUUUGGAAAAAGCCAAAAAAGUGCACCAAGUACGUCAAUCUCUACACCUCACCUCUCUCGACUCAAGGGUACACCAUAGACUUGGAUAUUGAGAGGGAAACCGAAAAGCUAUGACCAUGAAGGAAUCCGAAGAUCCCAAGGAUUGCUGGCCCGAAGAGAUGACGACGGAAUUGGAAUCAGCUGAGCAAGAGGUCAACGAUUUUACGACCGAUUGUGAUGGAUAAACCGCGACUACUACGAUUACUAAAGUCCAUCUAAAUCUCUGUCUGAAUCUUCAAUGGUGAAAUAGGAUUUCCUUGUUCUCGUUACCAAGGGCAUGUAAGGUUUCUGUAAAUGGAAUUAGUUCAAUUUGUCAGCAUUUACAACUGUCAAUUGUGAAGACUUGUCUUCAUCAGUUUUAGUUCAUUCUCCUGUGUUUAAGGCAUCAUGCCGAAGGAUCUUUUUCCUUUCUCCACGUGAUCGCUGCCGUAUCACGAAGAUGCUUCUUUGAGAGGGUCUCUACUAUAUUGCAAGACAAAAAUGUGAUGAGAUUAGGAAAUCUGAGAUGAGUUCAACCUGCAGACCAGUUUGCAUGUCCUUCACGCUUGAAGCUCUGCUUGAAGGUUGCGGGGAAUAUUACGUGUAAAAUUGUCAAUGCUGUGGUGUAGAGGUUGGGUGAGAACUGAACGUGUUGCAUCAUUAUCAAGCAGACCCAUCCCCAGCAACGUCAACCUAAAGAAGGAAAGCCC
RNAcentral lists this long non-coding RNA (2175 nucleotides) under Daphnia pulex (common water flea). Its description in RNAcentral is "uncharacterized LOC124197325, transcript variant X2". The record is from RNAcentral. Lineage: Eukaryota; Metazoa; Arthropoda; Branchiopoda; Diplostraca; Daphniidae.